Molecule: long non-coding RNA, 265 nt
Filed under: Erythranthe guttata (spotted monkey flower)
Lineage: Eukaryota; Viridiplantae; Streptophyta; Magnoliopsida; Lamiales; Phrymaceae
Description: long non-coding RNA (EGUT_LNC002037)
Source: RNAcentral
GAACAUUUUGUUCAAUACCGUGUACCUACCGUAUCUUUCGGUAUUGAAAAAUUCUAUACCGUUACCGUACCAACAAUUGCGGUAUACCGUUAUUCGGUAUACCGUUAGUUUCGGUACGGUAUGAUCGGUACGUGGUAAUCUACCGUACGUCAUUUUGUUGAUGAACUCGGAUGAUACAAUAAUUAAGAUGAAUACUAAUUAAAUGCAUAAAUACAACAAAUUAAGCAAAUGAAUAUGGUAAUCAAACAAUUUACAUGAAUAUACA